RNAcentral lists this ribosomal RNA (308 nucleotides) under uncultured eukaryote. RNAcentral describes it as "SSU rRNA". It matches the Rfam family "Eukaryotic small subunit ribosomal RNA", at positions 111 to 414 of the family's 1831-position model. The record is from RNAcentral.
AAUUAUUUAUUUGAUGGUUUCUUACUACAUGGAUAACCGUAGUAGUUCUAGAGCUAAUACAUGCGUAAAGUCCCGACUCUCGCGGGGAGGGAUGUAUUUAUUAGAUUAAAAACCAAUGCGGCCUUUGGUCGGACUUGUGUUGGUUCAUAGUAACUUUUCGGAUCGCAGGGCUUCACGCCGGCGACAGUUCAUUCAAAUUUCUGCCCUAUCAGCUUUCGACGGUAGUGUAGUGGACUACCGUGGCAUUUACGGGUGACGGAGAAUUAGGGUUCGAUUCCGGAGAGGGAGCCUGAGAAACGGCUACCACA